This 431-nucleotide ribosomal RNA is filed under the name Lactiplantibacillus plantarum. Its description in RNAcentral is "bacterial SSU rRNA". It matches the Rfam family "Bacterial small subunit ribosomal RNA", at positions 405 to 828 of the family's 1533-position model. The record is from RNAcentral. Lineage: Bacteria; Bacillati; Bacillota; Bacilli; Lactobacillales; Lactobacillaceae.
GUGAAGAAGGGUUUCGGCUCGUAAAACUCUGUUGUUAAAGAAGAACAUAUCUGAGAGUAACUGUUCAGGUAUUGACGGUAUUUAACCAGAAAGCCACGGCUAACUACGUGCCAGCAGCCGCGGUAAUACGUAGGUGGCAAGCGUUGUCCGGAUUUAUUGGGCGUAAAGCGAGCGCAGGCGGUUUUUUAAGUCUGAUGUGAAAGCCUUCGGCUCAACCGAAGAAGUGCAUCGGAAACUGGGAAACUUGAGUGCAGAAGAGGACAGUGGAACUCCAUGUGUAGCGGUGAAAUGCGUAGAUAUAUGGAAGAACACCAGUGGCGAAGGCGGCUGUCUGGUCUGUAACUGACGCUGAGGCUCGAAAGUAUGGGUAGCAAACAGGAUUAGAUACCCUGGUAGUCCAUACCGUAAACGAUGAAUGCUAAGUGUUGGAG